Molecule: non-coding RNA, 748 nt
Organism: Nephila pilipes (giant wood spider)
Lineage: Eukaryota; Metazoa; Arthropoda; Arachnida; Araneae; Nephilidae
Source: the annotation of a GenBank genome assembly
UGGAGCCUGCAGCUUAAUUUGAUUCAAUACGGAAAAAUUGAUUCGGUCCGGACACGGGGAAGAUUGACAAAUUAAGAGGUCUUUUCUGAUUCAGUGGGCGGUGUAAAACCGUUCUUAGUUCAUGGGAAAAGAUUUGUCUGGUUAGUUCCAAUAAAGAAAAGGCUCUAAAUUGAUGUUUUUCGAUCGUAUCGAGGGCACAUUCUUCUUAGAGGACCAGAGAGGUCCUCAGUCACAAUUGUGAUUGUUUAUUAACGUCACACUGAGAAGAAACCUUAAGUUUAUGUUGGUGACGGACUUUAUAAUUUUGUGCUUCGGUCAAGUGAUGAGGACGACACCUAAGCUGCAUCUCCUCUCUAAACUUUCACAUCCCACCAGUGUAGGUAUUUAAUGCCCUUAAGUGUCCAGAGCCAUCUGCGCACUAUAUUAAAGAUAUCAAUUGGGGCUUUCGCUGACCUAAAAGACUGGGUAUCCAGUUAAAAUUCUUUCGUGCUGGGAAAUAGGGUAAUGUAAUUUCCCCCUUGAACAACGAAUUUUCAAUACACAUGUCUCAUAAGCUCGUGUUAACAAAGUACCAUCACUUUAGACAUACUAUUCGUCGUUACUGCCGAUUGCUUUAGACAGGCUUCGAAACUGGUGCUUUAAUUUCUCCCUUUGUUAAUUGAGCCGAGGUGCUGUAAAGAUGGUCGAACUUGGUUAUUUAGUGGCAGUAAAGUCAUAAGAUUUUCGUGGGUGAACCUGUGGAAGUAUG